This 483-nucleotide ribosomal RNA is filed under the name uncultured bacterium. RNAcentral's name for it is "partial 16S ribosomal RNA". It matches the Rfam family "Bacterial small subunit ribosomal RNA", at positions 30 to 507 of the family's 1533-position model. The record is from RNAcentral.
UUGAACGCUGGCGGCAGGCCUAACACAUGCAAGUCGAGCGGAUGAAGGGAGCUUGCUCCUGGAUUCAGCGGCGGACGGGUGAGUAAUGCCUAGGAAUCUGCCUGGUAGUGGGGGAUAACGUCCGGAAACGGGCGCUAAUACCGCAUACGUCCUGAGGGAGAAAGUGGGGGAUCUUCGGACCUCACGCUAUCAGAUGAGCCUAGGUCGGAUUAGCUAGUUGGUGGGGUAAAGGCCUACCAAGGCGACGAUCCGUAACUGGUCUGAGAGGAUGAUCAGUCACACUGGAACUGAGACACGGUCCAGACUCCUACGGGAGGCAGCAGUGGGGAAUAUUGGACAAUGGGCGAAAGCCUGAUCCAGCCAUGCCGCGUGUGUGAAGAAGGUCUUCGGAUUGUAAAGCACUUUAAGUUGGGAGGAAGGGCAGUAAGUUAAUACCUUGCUGUUUUGACGUUACCAACAGAAUAAGCACCGGCUAUCUUCGUG